Molecule: transfer RNA, 73 nt
Filed under: archaeon
Lineage: Archaea
Description: tRNA-Gln
Rfam family: tRNA
About the family: Transfer RNA (tRNA) molecules are approximately 80 nucleotides in length. Their secondary structure includes four short double-helical elements and three loops (D, anti-codon, and T loops).
Source: RNAcentral
GGCGCUAUAGUGUAGCUGGUUAUCACACGAGGUUCUGACCCUCGUAACCUCAGUUCGAAUCUGGGUAGCGCCU